GACGAACGCUGGCGGCGUGCUUAACACAUGCAAGUCGAACGCGCUUCACUCCUUCGGGAGUGAAGUGAGUGGCGAACGGGUGAGUAACACGUGAGCAACCUGCCCUUGACCCUGGAAUAACAGCUGGAAACAGCUGCUAAUACCGGAUACGACCUCGAUGCAUCAUCUGGAGGUGGAAGACUCCGACGGUCGAAGGAGUGGGCGUCGCGGCCUAUCAGCUUGUUGGUG
RNAcentral lists this ribosomal RNA (228 nucleotides) under uncultured bacterium. RNAcentral describes it as "partial 16S ribosomal RNA". It matches the Rfam family "Bacterial small subunit ribosomal RNA", at positions 28 to 254 of the family's 1533-position model. The record is from RNAcentral.